CUACGGGUGGCUGCAGUGGGGAAUAUUGCACAAUGGGCGCAAGCCUGCUGCAGCCAUGCCGCGUGUGUGAAGAAGGCCUUCGGGUUGUAAAGCACUUUCAGCGGGGAGGAAGGCGUUAAGGUUAAUAACCUUGGCGAUUGACGUUACCCGCAGAAGAAGCACCGGCUAACUCCGUGCCAGCAGCCGCGGUAAUACGGAGGGUGCAAGCGUUAAUCGGAAUUACUGGGCGUAAAGCGCACGCAGGCGGUCUGUCAAGUCGGAUGUGAAAUCCCCAGGCUCAACCUGGGAACUGCAUUCGAAACUGGCAGGCUAGAGUCUUGUAGAGGGGGGUAGAAUUCCAGGUGUAGCGGUGAAAUGCGUAGAGAUCUGGAGGAAUACCGGUGGCGAAGGCGGCCCCCUGGACAAAGACUGACGCUCAGGUGCGAAAGCGUGGGGAGCAAACAGGAUUAGAUACCCUUGUAGUC
Molecule: ribosomal RNA, 464 nt
Filed under: uncultured Klebsiella sp.
Lineage: Bacteria; Pseudomonadati; Pseudomonadota; Gammaproteobacteria; Enterobacterales; Enterobacteriaceae
Description: bacterial SSU rRNA
Rfam family: Bacterial small subunit ribosomal RNA
Source: RNAcentral